This 460-nucleotide ribosomal RNA is filed under the name uncultured bacterium. Its description in RNAcentral is "partial 16S ribosomal RNA". It matches the Rfam family "Bacterial small subunit ribosomal RNA", at positions 338 to 795 of the family's 1533-position model. The record is from RNAcentral.
CCUACGGGAGGCAUCAGUGAGGAAUAUUGGUCAAUGGACGCAAGGCUGAACCAGCCAUGCCGCGUGAAGGAAGACGGCUCUAUGAGUUGUAAACUGCUUUUGUACGAGGGUAAACGCAGAUACGCGUAUCUGUCGGAAAGUAUCGUACGAAUAAGGAUCGGCAAACACCGUGCCAGCAGCCGCGGUAAUACGGAGGAUUCAAGCGUUAUCCGGAUUUAUUGGGUUUAAAGGGGGCGUAGGCGGUCUGAUAAGUUAGAGGUGAAAUCCCGAGGUUCAAGUUCGGAAUUGCCUCUGAUACGGUUCGGCUAGCGAGUAGUUGCGGUAGGCGGAAUGUAUGGUGUAGCGGUGAAAUGCUUAGAGAUCAUACAGACCCCCGAUUGCGAAGGCAGCUUACCAAGCUACUUCUGACGUUGAGGCACGAAAGCGUGGGGAGCAAACAGGAUUAGAUACCCCAGUAGUA